RNAcentral lists this ribosomal RNA (253 nucleotides) under uncultured bacterium. RNAcentral describes it as "partial 16S ribosomal RNA". It matches the Rfam family "Bacterial small subunit ribosomal RNA", at positions 524 to 776 of the family's 1533-position model. The record is from RNAcentral.
UACAGAGGUCCCAAGCGUUGUUCGGAUUCACUGGGCGUAAAGGGUGCGUAGGUGGCGGGGUAAGUCAGGUGUGAAAUCUCGAGGCUCAACCUCGAAACUGCACUUGAUACUGCCUUGCUCGAGUACUGGAGAGGAGAUUGGAAUUUACGGUGUAGCAGUGAAAUGCGUAGAUAUCGUAAGGAAGACCAGUGGCGAAGGCGAAUCUCUGGACAGUUACUGACACUGAGGCACGAAGGCCAGGGGAGCAAACAGG